GAUCAUGGCUCAGGAUGAACGCUGGCGGCGUGCUUAACACAUGCAAGUCGAGCGAAGCAAUUUAAGUGAAGUUUUCGGAUGGAUCUUAGAUUGACUGAGCGGCGGACGGGUGAGUAACGCGUGGAUAACCUGCCUCACACAGGGGGAGUAACAGUUAGAAAUGACUGCUAAUACCGCAUAAGCGCACGGUACCGCAUGGUGCAGUGUGAAAAACUACCGUGGU
This 223-nucleotide ribosomal RNA is filed under the name uncultured bacterium. RNAcentral's name for it is "partial 16S ribosomal RNA". It matches the Rfam family "Bacterial small subunit ribosomal RNA", at positions 15 to 219 of the family's 1533-position model. The record is from RNAcentral.